Long non-coding RNA from Papaver somniferum (opium poppy), 557 nucleotides. RefSeq lists it as uncharacterized. The transcript is spliced from 2 exons. NCBI's taxonomy places the organism in Eukaryota, Viridiplantae, Streptophyta, Magnoliopsida, Ranunculales, Papaveraceae. The record is from RefSeq and is a predicted model, not a curated record.
CAACUCUUCUAUUUCAUUUUACAGUAAUAGAAUUGAAGUAGCAUGUAUAUCAAGAGGUUGUUGCUUUGAAGAGGCAAGAGGAGAUCAUUCGUGAGAAAGAGGAGACUUGGCAAGAUGAGAAUGAGAAAAAAGUAAAUGGUGGAUCUGCUGACAAGGAAAAACGCUCCAAGGAAAAACAGGAAAAAACAUGUCAGUCUAGUAUCAUGCUUCGGUAUGCAAAUCAUCUUGUGGCUUCCGUAUCUUUGUCCUGGAUGUAGGUUAAAUGCUAAACCAUCCUAUCCAAAUCCAUCCAUUAUGCAGCUAGAGCUUGGCGUGGUUUAUAUUUUUGUCAGUCUGCGCAAACUAGAGUGGCAGUAUGGUUAUAUGAAUGUUGGAUUUUCAAUAUUUUUGUCGAUAGGUACAUAGUUGUACACUAGUGUGAAUUACAAAUUUUAUGGGUACUCUUUUUGUAGAUCUCGAAAAGAGCUUUCCGAAUAUAUAACGUUUGUGAAUUUUGGACGAGCGGUACGAAAGAUAAAUGUUUUUUUAAUUAUUUGUAUAUUAUUUAAAAUUGCUGA